GCCAGACUCCUACGGGAGGCAGCAGUGGGGAAUAUUGCACAAUGGGGGGAACCCUGAUGCAGCGACGCCGCGUGAGUGAAGAAGUAUUUCGGUAUGUAAAGCUCUAUCAGCAGGGAAGAAAAUGACGGUACCUGACUAAGAAGCCCCGGCUAACUACGUGCCAGCAGCCGCGGUAAUACGUAGGGGGCAAGCGUUAUCCGGAUUUACUGGGUGUAAAGGGAGCGUAGACGGCAGAGCAAGUCUGAAGUGAAAGCCCGCAGCCCGACUGCGGGACUGCUUUGGAAACUGCCCGGCUAGAGUGCUGGAGAGGUAAGCGGAAUUCCUAGUGUAGCGGUGAAAUGCGUAGAUAUUAGGAGGAACACCAGUGGCGAAGGCGGCUUACUGGACAGUAACUGACGUUGAGGCUCGAAAGCGUGGGGAGCAAACAGGAUUAGAUACCCUAGUA
Molecule: ribosomal RNA, 445 nt
Filed under: uncultured bacterium
Lineage: Bacteria
Description: bacterial SSU rRNA
Rfam family: Bacterial small subunit ribosomal RNA
Source: RNAcentral